This 484-nucleotide ribosomal RNA is filed under the name uncultured bacterium. RNAcentral describes it as "partial 16S ribosomal RNA". It matches the Rfam family "Bacterial small subunit ribosomal RNA", at positions 30 to 507 of the family's 1533-position model. The record is from RNAcentral.
AUUGAACGCUGGCGGCAGGCCUAACACAUGCAAGUCGAGCGGAUGAAGGGAGCUUGCUCCUGGAUUCAGCGGCGGACGGGUGAGUAAUGCCUAGGAAUCUGCCUUGUAUUGGGGGAUAACGUCCGGAAACGGGCGCUAAUACCGCAUACGUCCUGAGGGAGAAAGUGGGGGAUCUUCGGACCUCACGCUAUCAGAUGAGCCUAGGUCGGAUUAGCUAGUUGGUGGGGUAAAGGCCUACCAAGGCGACGAUCCGUAACUGGUCUGAGAGGAUGAUCAGUCACACUGGAACUGAGACACGGUCCAGACUCCUACGGGAGGCAGCAGUGGGGAAUAUUGGACAAUGGGCGAAAGCCUGAUCCAGCCAUGCCGCGUGUGUGAAGAAGGUCUUCGGAUUGUAAAGCACUUUAAGUUGGGAGGAAGGGCAGUAAGUUAAUACAUUGCUGUUUUGACGUUACCAACAGAAUAAGCACCGGCUAACUUCGUG